UACGUAGGUGGCAAGCGUUGUUCGGAAUUACUGGGCGUAAAGGGUGCGUAGGCGGCUUUCUAAGUCGGAUGUGAAAACUCUGGGCUCAACCCAGAGCCUGCAUCCGAAACUGGAGAGCUAGGGUUCUGGAGGGGAAAGCGGAAUUCCUGGUGUAGCGGUGAAAUGCGUAGAUAUCAGGAGGAACACCGGUGGCGAAGGCGGCUUUCUGGACAGAUACCGACGCUGAGGCACGAAAGCUAGGGGAGCAAACAGG
Molecule: ribosomal RNA, 253 nt
Filed under: uncultured bacterium
Lineage: Bacteria
Description: partial 16S ribosomal RNA
Rfam family: Bacterial small subunit ribosomal RNA
Source: RNAcentral